RNAcentral lists this ribosomal RNA (240 nucleotides) under uncultured Bacteroidota bacterium. RNAcentral describes it as "uncultured Bacteroidetes bacterium partial 16S ribosomal RNA". It matches the Rfam family "Bacterial small subunit ribosomal RNA", at positions 796 to 1041 of the family's 1533-position model. The record is from RNAcentral. Lineage: Bacteria; Pseudomonadati; Bacteroidota.
CACGCCGUAAACUAUGAUUACUCGCUGUUGGCGAUAUAUUGUCAGCGGCUGAGCGAAAGCAUUAAGUAAUCCACCUGGGGAGUACGAUCGCAAGGUUGAAACUCAAAGGAAUUGACGGGGGCCCGCACAAGCGGAGGAACAUGUGGUUUAAUUCGAUGAUACGCGAGGAACCUUACCUGGGCUUAAAUGUAGAGCGACAGAUCGGGAAACUGGUCCUUCUUCGGACGAUCUACAAGGUGC